UUGAUAUUCAAAUUGUUAAGUAAACAUAUACAUAAGUCAAUAUAAUGAUUCUUUAUACUAGUAGACUAUUUAAGUGACAUAUGGUACAAAUAUUUUAGUUUAAAUUUAAAAUUUUAAAGUGUUCAUAUUUAUUUUGUCCUUGAAAUAUUUUAUGGAAUCUAUAACUUUUUAGUAAAAUUACCUUGAUCGCGUUAACAUUAAUUUAGUAGAUUUGAAGGAUUCAAUGUCCAAAUAGUCUUAAAUAAAAACUGAUACAACUUUUAUUCGGACUGAACUAAAAAAAUAAUUAUAAUUUAAAAAUUUAGACUGGAGAUGAGAUGCAAGUAUGGUAAUAUAGACAUUUCUCGGGCGCACCUCACCUUCCGUCUAGUUAGUUAAAUAUGUAUGUUGCUACUUGAAAAGACAAAGUUGACACCCAUAUAAGGUACAAGGGAUGAAUUAAAAAAGUAAUGAAAAACUAAUAAAUCAAGAAAUAUAUGAGACUAAAAAAUAAUUCACUUAACAUAAAUAUUAUUUUAAGAGUAAUCGAAUGGUUGACACUAAAAGAAUUACCUUAUAUAAAGUACAUAAUCUGUAAAACUAUAAUAUAUUCUAUUUUGAACCAUUUGAAGCAUUAAAAAUUGAAUUAUAGGUAUGUAUAUAUAAUUUCUAAUUGACUAAUCGAUUCCAUUAAUAAAUUAAAAUAAG
Long non-coding RNA from Daktulosphaira vitifoliae (grape phylloxera), 687 nucleotides. RefSeq lists it as uncharacterized. The transcript is spliced from 3 exons. The record is from RefSeq and is a predicted model, not a curated record. NCBI's taxonomy places the organism in Eukaryota, Metazoa, Arthropoda, Insecta, Hemiptera, Phylloxeridae.